Molecule: ribosomal RNA, 497 nt
Filed under: uncultured bacterium
Lineage: Bacteria
Description: partial 16S ribosomal RNA
Rfam family: Bacterial small subunit ribosomal RNA
Source: RNAcentral
GAUGAACGCUGGCGGCGUGCCUAAUACAUGCAAGUCGAGCGAACAGACGAGGAGCUUGCUCCUUUGACGUUAGCGGCGGACGGGUGAGUAACACGUAGGUAACCUACCUAAAAGACUGGGAUAACUUCGGGAAACCGGAGCUAAUACCGGAAAAUAUUUCGAACCGCAUGGUUCGAUAGUGAAAGAUGGCAUUGAUAUCACUUAUAGAUGGACCUACGCCGUAUUAGCUAGUCGGUAAGGUAACGGCUUACCAAGGCAACGAUACGUAGCCGACCUGAGAGGGUGAUCGUCCACACUAGAACUGGGACACGGUCCAGCCUCCUGCGUGACGCCGCAGUAGGGUGUCUUCCGCAAUAGGCGAUAACCUGACGGAGCAACGCCACGUGAGUCAUGAAAAUCUUCGGAUCGUAAAACUCUGUUAUUAGGGAAAAACGAACGUGUAAGUAGCUGUGCACGUCUUGGCGGUACCUAAUCGGAAAGCCACGGCUAACUACAUG